Apis dorsata (giant honeybee) is the source of this 298-nucleotide long non-coding RNA. RefSeq lists it as uncharacterized. NCBI's taxonomy places the organism in Eukaryota, Metazoa, Arthropoda, Insecta, Hymenoptera, Apidae. The record is from RefSeq and is a predicted model, not a curated record. The transcript has 3 exons.
UUGAUCUUUUGUCGUCGUAAAAUUUUGCAAAAUUUUAGCAAAACGAUCGAAUAUCGAUUAAUUUUUCAUUGUUAUAAAUAGAACCCUCUUGCGCGAUUAAUCUUAUAUUAUCGAUAAUUUCAAAAAUUUCAUCGGUGCAAAACAAAUUUUCAUUCGUAACAACGAUUUGGUAACGAAAUAUAUGAAGUAAAUAUAGAAAAUAAUAAAUUAUAGAAAAUUAGAAUUGACAAAUUAUCGUGCGAGAGAGUUCAAAUAUCAAUUUAUGAGUUACGAUCUUUUCUUCCGCUAAAUCAUAUAU